RNAcentral lists this ribosomal RNA (218 nucleotides) under Campeiostachys nutans. Its description in RNAcentral is "Elymus nutans partial small subunit ribosomal RNA". The stretch from base 77 to 218 matches the Rfam family "Eukaryotic small subunit ribosomal RNA", at positions 722 to 864 of the family's 1831-position model. The record is from RNAcentral. Lineage: Eukaryota; Viridiplantae; Streptophyta; Magnoliopsida; Poales; Poaceae.
GAUUCGGCCAAUUGGUCCAUCUUUUAGAUGAGUACUGGUUGUGUUGGGUCUAUCCACCUGGUGAUACGUAAUGUCCUUUAUUGGAUGUUGCGGGUAGUCAGGACCUUUACCUUGAAAAAAUUAGAGUGUUUAAAACAGGCUUAUGCCGGAAUACAUUAGCAUGGAAUAAUAGAAUAGGACGAAGUUGUUUUAUUUUGUUGGUUUCUAGGAUCACCGUA